CGGUUAAGUUAUUAAGGGCGCAUGGUGAAUGCCUUGGCACUAGGAGCCGAUGAAGGACGGGACUAACACCGAUAUGCCUCGGGGAGCUGUAAGUAAGCUGUGAUCCGGGGAUUUCCGAAUGGGGGAACCCAACUUGUCAUGCAAGUUAUCGUUUAAUGAAUACAUAGUUAAACGAAGGUAGACGUUGUGAACUGAAACAUCUCAUUAGCAACAGGAGAAGAAAGAAAAAUCGAUUCCGUCAGUAGCGGCGAGCGAACGCGGAGGAGCCCAAACCAGAGUGCUUGCACUCUGGGGUUGUAGGACUACCGUUGUGGAGUUACAAAUUUGUUUAUUAGCAGAAUCAGCUGGGAAGCUGAGCGAAACAGGGUGAUAGCCCCGUAUGCGAAAGUAAGCAAACUCCCGUGUAGGAUCCUGAGUACGGCCGGACACGUGAAAUCCGGUCGGAAACUGCGAGGACCAUCUCGUAAGGCUAAAUACUCCCUAGUGACCGAUAGUGAACCAGUACCGUGAGGGAAAGGUGAAAAGCACCCCGGAAGGGGAGUGAAAAAGUUCCUGAAACCAUGUGCCUACAACAAGUUAGAGCCCGUUAAUGGGUGAUAGCGUGCCUUUUGUAGAAUGAACCGGCGAGUUACGAUACCAUGCAAGGUUAAGGUGGAAAGACCGGAGCCGUAGCGAAAGCGAGUCUGAAAUGGGCGUUUUAGUAUGUUGUUGUAGACCCGAAACCAGGUGACCUACCCAUGUCCAGGGUGAAGGUGCGGUAAAACGCACUGGAGGCCCGAACCCGUACAUGUUGAAAAAUGUUGGGAUGAGGUGUGGGUAGCGGUGAAAUUCCAAUCGAACUUGGAGAUAGCUGGUUCUCUCCGAAAUAGCUUUAGGGCUAGCCUCGGAAGAUAGCGUGUUGGAGGUAGAGCACUGUUUUGGUGCGGGGCCCAUCUCGGGUUACUAAAUUAAGAUAAACUCCGAAUGCCAAUCACGUAUGUCCGGGAGUCAGACAGUGAGUGAUAAGAUCCAUUGUCGAAAGGGGAACAGCCCAGAUCGUCAGUUAAGGUCCCUAAGUGUGUGUUAAGUGGAAAAGGAUGUGAAGUUGCAUAGACAACUAGGAUGUUGGCUCAGAAGCAGCCACCAUUUAAAGAGUGCGUAAUAGCUCACUAGUCGAGUGAUUCUGCGCCGAAAAUGUACCGGGGCUAAACACACCACCGAAACUACGGGUGCCAC
This 1215-nucleotide ribosomal RNA is filed under the name Weissella paramesenteroides. RNAcentral describes it as "partial 23S ribosomal RNA". It matches the Rfam family "Bacterial large subunit ribosomal RNA", at positions 1 to 1212 of the family's 2925-position model. The record is from RNAcentral. Lineage: Bacteria; Bacillati; Bacillota; Bacilli; Lactobacillales; Lactobacillaceae.